This 1483-nucleotide long non-coding RNA is filed under the name Gallus gallus (chicken). Its description in RNAcentral is "lncRNA (ENSGALG00010006094.1)". The record is from RNAcentral. Lineage: Eukaryota; Metazoa; Chordata; Aves; Galliformes; Phasianidae.
AUGCCCAUGACUGAGCUCCUGCAUACACCAAAUAGUUGGCUUGAGGGAUGCAAUUCUGCUAUAAUUUGCCAAAACUCUAAAAGAUUUUUCCCAUUUAGAGCUGAAUGGAAGAGGAAAGCCUUUGAGCAGGAAUUGCUUCGUGUGAGAACUGAUAAGAGCUUCCAGGAAUGGGAGAAAGAAUUGAAAAAGAUGUAAUGGAAAGGCCUCUAGCAGGGAAUUGAACUCAGGUCUUCUACAUAGUGUUCUGGGAGGUGCUGGACACAGACUAUCUGGAGAGUAGCAGCUUUAGCUGUACAGCUCUGUGGGAAGGCCUAAUUACCAGUGAUUACUCUUUCAUCCUAUGGAUUCAUAGGAUUUUCUGGGUCAGCUGGAAAUGAUCUUUUUCUGAACUUGAGAAACAUUUGGGACCUUCAGUUAGCCAUUUGUCUUCCUAUUUUGGGUGCACAACGCUGAAGAUACAAAAGCUUAACGAUGUUGAACCUGCUGAUUCUGAGACCCAAGAGAAUCCAUGAUUUUGUGAUCUUUUGAAAACCUGGUGACCUACUGUAAAGUGGCAUUUUUUUUAGGAGGAAGAAUAUUUGUUUGAUUUUUGAAAGCACUUAACAAAAAUGGGAACACUCUAAACCAUAUUUUUUAUCCUCCUAAUGAUAUUUGCAUGAUUCAGUAGAGUUUAUUUAUCCCUCUGCACUCUAUGCCUCAGUUUACAACUCUAAAUGUAUAAUUAUUUACAUACACAAUCUUCCAGUUAAAAAAUUUUUGUUUGAAAUAUAGUUGACCUUUUUAAAAAUGUGAGAUAGUAAAUGGAGGAACUUGCUUGCUUUGUUUUCUGAUUCCAGGACACUUAGAAUAUGCUUUAGUGCUAUUUCUGUACUCUGCCUCAUGAAGUCUGGAAGUGAUCUUAAAAUGAAAGUUGGAAUGCUAACACAUGGAAAAAGUAAUACUGUGGCACUCCAAUAAAAUUAAAAAAAUUUAUGUAAAAAAAAAAAACAAAACAAAACACUAAGCCCAAAGUUAUCUGUAUUAUCUACAAAGAAACCUUUUAAAUAAGUUUUAAAUAGAAGUGUACAGAUGCAAAAUACUAAUGUGGAUGUGACUUCUGCAACUGUGAGGAAUACAAAAUUGAUGUGUGGGUGUCAUUAUAAAAAAUAGAACAGCACCAUACUAACAGAUAUGUUAAAAUUUAAAUGUUGAAUUAAAUCUCUCUUAAAACGUUCUGUGCAGUGUUAUGUCAAGUAACAAAGUUACAAUCCAAAUUUUUUUUCAUCUGUAUCUCUAAAUCUCUAAAUGUGUGGGUUUAACUCUCUCCUCCUUUUUUUAAACCAUCGUGACCCGAAGAUAUCUUGCAGUGGAAAUAAAAAUAUUGAAAAAAUGGAAGUCUUAAGAGUAAAAAGUAGAUCCUUAGAGACUGAAGUAAUAGCAUUAGUGGACAAACUAAAAUAAAAAAGCAGGUCCAAUUCAGAUGUGCAGCCUGGCGAAGUCCAUU